GACGAACCGAGCGACCGUUGUUCGGAAUCACUGGGCUUAAAGGGCGCGUAGGCGGGCGGCCGCGUCCGGGGUGAAAUUCCACGGCUCAACCGUGGAACGGCCUCGGAUACGGGCGGCCUGGAGGCGGGUAGGGGCAGGCGGAACUGUGGGUGGAGCGGUGAAAUGCGUUGAGAUCCACAGGAACUCCGGUGGCGAAGGCGGCCUGCUGGACCCGAACUGACGCUGAGGCGCGAAAGCCAGGGGAGCGAACGGG
This 253-nucleotide ribosomal RNA is filed under the name uncultured bacterium. Its description in RNAcentral is "partial 16S ribosomal RNA". It matches the Rfam family "Bacterial small subunit ribosomal RNA", at positions 524 to 776 of the family's 1533-position model. The record is from RNAcentral.